CCCAGAAGCGGGGGACAACAUUUGGAAACAGAUGCUAAUACCGCAUAACAACGUUGUUCGCAUGAACAACGCUUAAAAGAUGGCUUCUCGCUAUCACUUCUGGAUGGACCUGCGGUGCAUUAGCUUGUUGGUGGGGUAACGGCCUACCAAGGCGAUGAUGCAUAGCCGAGUUGAGAGACUGAUCGGCCACAAUGGGACUGAGACACGGCCCAUACUCCUACGGGAGGCAGCAGUAGGGAAUCUUCCACAAUGGGCGCAAGCCUGAUGGAGCAACACCGCGUGAGUGAAGAAGGGUUUCGGCUCGUAAAGCUCUGUUGUUAAAGAAGAACACGUAUGAGAGUAACUGUUCAUACGUUGACGGUAUUUAACCAGAAAGUCACGGCUAACUACGUGCCAGCAGCCGCGGUAAUACGUAGGUGGCAAGCGUUAUCCGGAUUUAUUGGGCGUAAAGAGAGUGCAGGCGGUUUUCUAAGUCUGAUGUGAAAGCCUUCGGCUUAACCGGAGAAGUGCAUCGGAAACUGGAUAACUUGAGUGCAGAAGAGGGUAGUGGAACUCCAUGUGUAGCGGUGGAAUGCGUAGAUAUAUGGAAGAACACCAGUGGCGAAGGCGGCUACCUGGUCUGCAACUGACGCUGAGACUCGAAAGCAUGGGUAGCGAACAGGAUUAGAUACCCUGGUAGUCCAUGCCGUAAACGAUGAGUGCUAGGUGUUGGAGGGUUUCCGCCCUUCAGUGCCGGAGCUAACGCAUUAAGCACUCCGCCUGGGGAGUACGACCGCAAGGUUGAAACUCAAAGGAAUUGACGGGGGCCCGCACAAGCGGUGGAGCAUGUGGUUUAAUUCGAAGCUACGCGAAGAACCUUACCAGGUCUUGACAUCUUGCGCCAACCCUAGAGAUAGGGCGUUUCCUUCGGGAACGCAAUGACAGGUGGUGCAUGGUCGUCGUCAGCUCGUGUCGUGAGAUGUUGGGUUAAGUCCCGCAACGAGCGCAACCCUUGUUACUAGUUGCCAGCAUUAAGUUGGGCACUCUAGUGAGACUGCCGGUGACAAACCGGAGGAAGGUGGGGACGACGUCAGAUCAUCAUGCCCCUUAUGACCUGGGCUACACACGUGCUACAAUGGACGGUACAACGAGUCGCGAACUCGCGAGGGCAAGCAAAUCUCUUAAAACCGUUCUCAGUUCGGACUGCAGGCUGCAACUCGCCUGCACGAAGUCGGAAUCGCUAGUAAUCGCGGAUCAGCAUGCCGCGGUGAAUACGUUCC
RNAcentral lists this ribosomal RNA (1259 nucleotides) under Limosilactobacillus fermentum. RNAcentral describes it as "bacterial SSU rRNA". It matches the Rfam family "Bacterial small subunit ribosomal RNA", at positions 129 to 1374 of the family's 1533-position model. Lineage: Bacteria; Bacillati; Bacillota; Bacilli; Lactobacillales; Lactobacillaceae. The record is from RNAcentral.